GGGUGCGAGCGUUGUCCGGAUUUAUUGGGCGUAAAGGGCUCGUAGGUGGUUGAUCGCGUCGGAAGUGUAAUCUUGGGGCUUAACCCUGAGCGUGCUUUCGAUACGGGUUGACUUGAGGAAGGUAGGGGAGAAUGGAAUUCCUGGUGGAGCGGUGGAAUGCGCAGAUAUCAGGAGGAACACCAGUGGCGAAGGCGGUUCUCUGGGCCUUUCCUGACGCUGAGGAGCGAAAGCGUGGGGAGCGAACAGGCUUAGAUACCCUGGUAGUCCACGCUGUAAACGGUGGGUACUAGGUGUGGGGUCCAUUCCACGGGUUCCGUGCCGUAGCUAACGCUUUAAGUACCCCGCCUGGGGAGUACGGCCGCAAGGCUAAAACUCAAAGGAAUUGACGGGGGCCCGCACAAG
This 402-nucleotide ribosomal RNA is filed under the name uncultured bacterium. RNAcentral's name for it is "bacterial SSU rRNA". It matches the Rfam family "Bacterial small subunit ribosomal RNA", at positions 530 to 929 of the family's 1533-position model. The record is from RNAcentral.